GCAAUAGAGGUGCAAAAUACAUGAGUCGCGUGCCCCAGGUCGUCGGCGGCCGUUCACGACACGCUAAAGGGUAUUUUGCCGAAAACAAAACCCGCCGACAGGUCUUUGUUUGGGUGCGUUUGCGAACAGCGGCGCAACUGUCAUCACGAGGUUUCGGAUGGAGCGCUAUUGU
This 172-nucleotide non-coding RNA is filed under the name Candidatus Fimenecus excrementavium. RNAcentral describes it as "Lysine riboswitch". It matches the Rfam family "Lysine riboswitch aptamer". Rfam says of the family: Riboswitches are metabolite binding domains within certain messenger RNAs that serve as precision sensors for their corresponding targets. Allosteric rearrangement of mRNA structure is mediated by ligand binding, and this results in modulation of gene expression. The record is from RNAcentral. Lineage: Bacteria; Bacillati; Bacillota; Clostridia. RNAcentral also lists the same sequence under 1 other name.